UUUGCCCUGUUCGCUUCUUUUCAGAGAAACCGAAGCCGCUUCAUCGAAGGGAAGUACGAGAGAGAGAGGCUUUAGAGAUCAUAGUCGUCUUCUCUAAUUCUCAGACAUGGGUACUUUCAAGCCAUCUUUCAUCCUCUGUCCAACGUUCGUCUGAGAGAUUUUUGAUCUGCAAGUUCUUCCAUCGUUUCUCUUCAGGCUGGACCAGCAGAUAUUUUCACCCACAUAUUGGUCUUCACCUCUAUAUUCUACACAGUCAAACAGGUCUGCCCCUAUAUAUGUGUUUAACCGAAAAAGGAUUGUAAUGUAUGAGUGGCAUGUGUUGAAUCUGUUUUGCUAAGUGUGGCAUCUGUUGAAUCUGUUUUGGUAUUUAUGCAUCUCUUGGAUCUGUUGAAUCUGGUGUGGCAUCUGUAGAACUGUUUUCGUAUUUUUGGCAUCUCUUGAAUCUGUUUUUGAUGUUAGAGGUUUCAUUUAUUGUCUGAGUGGCAGAUUCUUGCUUUAUGCCCCAUCCAUUGCUUCAGGCUCAUAUUAGAGGUUUCAUUUCUUCUGUUGGCCUAAUUUUGUACUUACUUAUAGUGCUUCUGUAUUCAGAAAUAUUUACCGGAUUCUAUGUAGUUUUAGAGUAUUUUAGUUCCAUGGUCAAUAAUUUUCUACAAUAAGUUCUGAAAUAUAUUAGCUGUAAUGAUUGUGCAGACACUCAAAUAAACAAGAAUUGAACAUUCUGUUUUACAUUGGAUCAUGGCCCAUUGCUGUUUUUCAUUGUGAAACAAGCAUAUUCAUAUCAUAAUUAUAUCCUUUAAAUCUGUUUUUUAGUUUAGAGUAAUACAUAGAUACGUAUUCAUUUAUAAUCUGUUUUUUUAUGUUAGUCACACGUAGGAUUGAAUUUCAAUUAUAUUGCUCCAAUUAUAUCCAUUGAAUCUGUUCCUGAAUUCCAGUGAACACAUAGGCUUCACAUUGGUGAUUAUAGAAGUUCGUUCACAAAGUCAUACUAUUAACACACCUCUCUCACCACUCCAAGUCCGAGUCCACACCCAUGUCUACUAAUGCACCACCAAUGAUUAGAAUUACAAUGAAAAUUUCCUUUCAUUCUUUUUUCAGCUGUUGAAAGGUUUGCUCAUGAGGACAAGGGUGAUUUUGCAACUUCACUAAAGCAUUUUAGGUAAGAACCAUAUCCUCGAAUUGCUCUUUUGGACCGAAAUUAAACCUUUUGUGUGAUGGUUUAUCAUAUGAUUGAGUUCUAUGUUUGAACUUAUAAAUUCGUUCAUGGUGGAUUUGAAUUGCCACUCAGUGUUGCUUGAGUGAAGUUGAUAAUUGUGUGCAUUGUAAGAUUCACAAUUCUUAUUAGAUGUUUUAAAUGUAAUGAACAAAAACUAUAACAUGUAGCCUGUUAUUUCUGUCUUUAUUAUACUUCUAUGACC
Prunus dulcis (almond) is the source of this 1415-nucleotide long non-coding RNA. RefSeq lists it as uncharacterized. NCBI's taxonomy places the organism in Eukaryota, Viridiplantae, Streptophyta, Magnoliopsida, Rosales, Rosaceae. The transcript has 4 exons. The record is from RefSeq and is a predicted model, not a curated record.